CCUCUCAUUACAUAUGUGCUAAUUGAAACAUUUAUGAAACAGUAGGUGACAGAGAGGAGAGGGGUUAUGCCUAUGCUCAGUGUUCUAACCUGUGACCAUCUGAAUGAUUAGUAGCCUAACUCU
This is a small nucleolar RNA of Rattus norvegicus (Norway rat), 123 nucleotides long. Ensembl annotates it as small nucleolar RNA SNORA17. The record is from Ensembl. NCBI's taxonomy places the organism in Eukaryota, Metazoa, Chordata, Mammalia, Rodentia, Muridae.